This 498-nucleotide long non-coding RNA is filed under the name Capsicum annuum. RNAcentral describes it as "long non-coding RNA (CANN_LNC021513)". Lineage: Eukaryota; Viridiplantae; Streptophyta; Magnoliopsida; Solanales; Solanaceae. The record is from RNAcentral.
UUCUGAUAAAUAGUUCAUGAUAGUAUGUAUAGAUAGAAAACACAAGCACCUGAUAUAUAGUAAUUUAGGUAGAAAGAGCAUUACAAAAUGACACGAAUUCAGAUGUAUUUUGACCAUUAUCUCUAAAAGAUACUACAUAUAAUUACAAAAUCAUAACAAGUAUGCUACAAGUGAUGAAAACCAAAGAAGAAAAACAAAUGCAAUUGAGGGUAGUCCCAACAUUAUGAUGGCCUCCAUUAACAUAAUUGUGAUGGUUCAUAGCUCCUGCUGCAUACACUGGGAUUACACCUGCAGUACCAAUGUUAGGUGACCUUCCCGAGCCCCCACCACGCGACGCUCGUCCUCCUGAGGAGCCACUAUGGGCACUAGCAUGCCCACUGGCGGCCCCACCUCCACGUUUAUCGAUUGUCACAACUUUAUCAUCUACAUGCACUACAAGAGAAAUAAGAAUUUCCUAUGAAAUUUUCCUUAGAACUAUCAGGUGUGCGAGUUUUNNNN